AUGGGGAACGCGCGGGACGCCGCCAGGAAGGCCAAGAAGGGGGCCCCGGCCGCCUCCGGGGUCCCGUCUCCCAAGAAGCCCAGGACGAAGACGGCCGCCGAGGCCGACGGCGCGACGGCCGAGCCGGCGGUGGACGAGAAACCGCCUUCGCCGGCCAAGUCGCCCGUUAAGUCGAAGCGCCCAUCGUCGCCACCCAAGUCCAAGUCGAAGGCCGACGACGCUCCUGAGGCCAAGAAGAGGUCCCCGUCGCCCACGACGUCCAAAACGCUAGCCGCGGCCGCGAAAUUGGAGGCCGCGGAGAAGCCCCUCUCGCCGAAGAGGGCCAAAACCCUAGCGGCCAAAUCUGACGCUAAGCCCUCUGACCAAGCCCUUGUCUCUCAAUCUAAAGACCAGGCGUCUCAACCCGAGGAUAAGAAGACCAAAAUCUCAAAUGCCACCAAGUCAGAGGAGGUGAAUACCACUCUCGAGCUCAAGAAGAAAGGCAGUGAGUUUGAUCCCAUGGCUGCUGCCUACUGGAAGCCCGGCGAGCCUGUGCCAUUCCUCUUCUUGGCUCGGGCACUCGACCUCAUCUCCAACGAGUCUGGCCGGAUUGUCAUUACAGAGAUCCUGUCAAACGUGUUCCGUACGAUUAUUGCCACAACUCCAGAGGAUCUCCUUGCGACAGUAUACCUCUCCGCUAACCGGAUUGCGCCACCUCACGAAGGGAUUGAGCUUGGUAUUGGGGAUGCAUCAAUCAUCCGUGCACUUUCCGAGGCAUACGGCCGCAAAGAGGAGCAUGUCAAAAAGAACCUCAAGGAAUUGGGUGAUUUGGGGCUUGUGGCGAAAGCAAGCAGGUCGUCACAGAAGAUGAUGUACAAGCCAAAACCACUGACGAUAUCACGUGUGCUUGAUACCUUUCGGACAAUCGCAAAGGAAUCUGGCAAAGACAGUCAAGAUAAGAAAAGAAGUCAUAUCAAAGGACUUCUUGUUGCUGCAACAGACUGUGAACCUCAAUACAUUAUACGACUUCUUCAGUCGAAGAUGCGUAUUGGGUUGGCAGAGAAAACUGUCCAAAUGGCUCUUGGGCAAGCUGCUGUAUAUUCUGAAAAAGGGUCCCCGCCAAAAAAAGUCCAAUCACCUUUUGAAGAGGCUGCAAAAAUAAUUAAAGAAGCAUAUUCGGUUCUUCCAGUCUAUGAUAAAAUUGUCCCGACUCUUCUUGAUGCUGGUGUUUGGAAACUUCCAGAAACAUGCAAUUUCUCCAUAGGUGUCCCUGUUGGUCCUAUGUUGGCAAAAGCAACAAAAUCUGUAUCAGAGAUUAUUGACAAGUUUCAAGGUCGUGAGUACACUUGUGAGUACAAGUAUGAUGGUGAACGGGCCCAGAUUCAUUGCAUGGAGGAUGGAACAGUAGAAAUUUAUAGUCGGAACGCUGAAAGGAAUACUGGGAAGUACCCUGAUGUUGUUGAUGCAAUUUCUAGAAUCCGAAAGCCUACAGUUAAGUCAUUUGUCCUAGAUUGUGAAAUUGUUGCUUAUGACCGCGAAAAGAAGAGAAUUUUACCCUUUCAGAUACUCAGCACAAGGGCCCGCAAGGGUGUUACUAUAAAUGACAUCAAAGUAUCAGUCUGUACUUUUGGCUUUGAUAUUCUUUACAUCAAUGGGAAACCUCUUCUCCAGGAACAACUUAAAGUUCGACGAGAGCAUCUUUACAACUCUUUCGAGGAAGUGCCAGGUGUUUUUCAACUGGCAACUGCAAUUACAUCAAAUGACCUCGAGGAGAUACAGAAAUUUCUUGACUUAUCUGUCAACUCCAGUUGUGAAGGGUUGAUUAUCAAGACAUUGGAUACAGAUGCUACAUAUGAGCCAGCGAAGCGGUCAAACAAUUGGUUGAAAUUGAAGAAAGAUUACAUGGACAGUGUUGGAGACUCUUUAGACUUAGUGCCAAUUGCUGCUUUUCAUGGAAGAGGAAAACGAACUGGUGUAUAUGGAUCGUUCCUCUUGGCAUGCUAUGAUGAGCAUAAUGAAGAAUACCAAACAAUCUGCAAUAUAGGUACUGGAUUUUCUGAGCAACAACUUGAAGAACGUUCUACGAGCCUUCGAAGUAAAGUAAUAAAGAACCCAAAGGCAUAUUAUAGGUUCGCUGACACAACUGACCCAGAUGUGUGGUUUGAGCCGUCAGAGGUGUGGGAGGUCAAAGCUGCUGAUUUGAGCAUAAGUCCAGUUCAUCGUGCUGCUAAUGGGAUAGUUGAUCCAAAUAAGGGCAUCUCUCUAAGAUUUCCUCGUUUGUUGCGGGUCCGUGAUGAUAAAAACCCAGAACAUGCAACCACAGCUGAGCAAGUUGCUGACAUGUAUCGUGCUCAAAAAAUAAACCACUCGCACAACCAAGAAGAUGAGGAUGAUGACUGA
Molecule: ribosomal RNA, 2379 nt
Filed under: Triticum aestivum (bread wheat)
Lineage: Eukaryota; Viridiplantae; Streptophyta; Magnoliopsida; Poales; Poaceae
Description: partial small subunit ribosomal RNA
Source: RNAcentral